RNAcentral lists this non-coding RNA (147 nucleotides) under Heyndrickxia shackletonii. RNAcentral describes it as "Bacillus shackletonii FMN sequence". It matches the Rfam family "FMN riboswitch aptamer (RFN element)". From Rfam's summary of the family: The RFN element is a highly conserved domain that is found frequently in the 5'-untranslated regions of prokaryotic mRNAs that encode for flavin mononucleotide (FMN) biosynthesis and transport proteins. This element is a metabolite-dependent riboswitch that directly binds FMN in the absence of proteins. The record is from Rfam by way of RNAcentral. Lineage: Bacteria; Bacillati; Bacillota; Bacilli; Caryophanales; Bacillaceae.
GUUAUCCUUCGGGGUCGGGUGAAAUUCCCAACCGGCGGUGAUGAAGCCAAGAACUUCUAAGUCCGUGACCCGGUUAACAGUUUGUUAAACGGUGGAGCUGGUGAAAAUCCAGCACCGACAGUAUAGUCUGGAUGGGAGAAGGAAGAA